This 429-nucleotide ribosomal RNA is filed under the name Chloroflexota bacterium. RNAcentral describes it as "Chloroflexi bacterium partial 16S ribosomal RNA". It matches the Rfam family "Bacterial small subunit ribosomal RNA", at positions 355 to 776 of the family's 1533-position model. The record is from RNAcentral. Lineage: Bacteria; Bacillati; Chloroflexota.
UGGGGAAUAUUGCACAAUGGGCGCAAGCCUGAUGCAGCCAUGCCGCGUGUAUGAAGAAGGCCUUCGGGUUGUAAAGUACUUUCAGUCGGGAGGAAGGUGUCAAGGUUAAUAACCUUGGCAAUUGACGUUACCGACAGAAGAAGCACCGGCUAACUCCGUGCCAGCAGCCGCGGUAAUACGGAGGGUGCAAGCGUUAAUCGGAAUUACUGGGCGUAAAGCGCACGCAGGCGGUUGAUUGAGUCAGAUGUGAAAUCCCCGGGCUUAACCCGGGAAUUGCAUCUGAUACUGGUCAGCUAGAGUCUUGAAGAGGGGGGUAGAAUUCCAUGUGUAGCGGUGAAAUGCGUAGAGAUGUGGAGGAAUACCGGUGGCGAAGGCGGCCCCCUGGACAAAGACUGACGCUCAGGUGCGAAAGCGUGGGGAGCAAACAGG